This 253-nucleotide ribosomal RNA is filed under the name uncultured bacterium. Its description in RNAcentral is "partial 16S ribosomal RNA". It matches the Rfam family "Bacterial small subunit ribosomal RNA", at positions 524 to 776 of the family's 1533-position model. The record is from RNAcentral.
UACAGAGGGGGCAAGCGUUGUUCGGAAUUACUGGGCGUAAAGGGCGCGUAGGCGGCCCGCUAAGUCGAACGUGAAAUCCCCGGGCUCAACCCGGGAACUGCGUCCGAUACUGGCAGGCUUGAAUCCGGGAGAGGGAUGCGGAAUUCCAGGUGUAGCGGUGAAAUGCGUAGAUAUCAUUUGGAACGCCAAUGGUGAAAACAGGUAGCUGGGGAUGUGCUGACGCUGAGACACGAAAGCCAGGGGAGCAAACGGG